GACGCACUGGAACAGGUUGCCCAGAGAGACUCUGGGUGCCCCAUUGCUGGAGGCGUUCAAGGCCAGGCUGGAUGUGGCUCUCAGCAGCCUGCUCUGCUGGUUUGCAGCCCUGCCCACAGCAGGGGGGUUGGAACUACAUGAUCUUUGAGGUCCUUUUCAACUCAGGCCGUUCUGUGAUUCUACGAUUAAGUGAACCAACUACCUAAUUCUCCUUUAAACGGCAAAAUCAGAAAAACAAAUGCCCUCUUUUCUAGAGCUUCUCUCCAGCAGCAGUGAACAGAUGGCCCCCUGCUGCUCACCACAAAUGUGUUAUUAUUACUUCAACCAAAAUCUCCUUUAGAAGAAAGCAAGGCAAUGUUUGUUUUACUUCCAGAUAACCUUGAAAAAGGCAAAACCACAAUAAUACAGUUAAAACAAAACAGAACAAAACAAAAAAGAGGAACAAAGAGGAAUGUAGAAAAAAAAAGUAGAAAAAUAAAGUAAAAUGAAGAAGAAAAAAAGGAAAGGGAAGGGAAUGGAAAAACAAAACAAAACAAAACAAAACAAAGAGAACAAAGAAAGAGAAAAAAAGAAAAGAGCAAAAAGACAGUGACCCAACAGGUUCAAAGCCUCUGAAUAUACACCUUCAGAUAUCUGCUUGAAAAACAUACUAAAAAUUACAAAACUGUGAUCGCUCGUUCUUCAUUUACUGCAAUAUCAAGCUGGUCAGCUUGAAUCAUUCAGAUCCAAGGUAAUUAUUUCUUAGUAGAUGCUAACACCCUGUCUGCCCUUAGUAUAAUGGUCAAAUUGGUAAAACAAGACUGAUCACCCACUCCCCUAAAUCCAAGGUAUUCUGGAUUGUGUCAGCUGAGAGUCCAUUUCCUUUGGGUUAUUGCUGUUCCUAAGACUUAAGGGUAAUAGAAACCUAUUCAAACAAUAGCAGUCUCAAUUAAAAGUGUGUGAUAUACACUAUUCAGACUCCAAGGUUAGAAAAACACGUUUUGAAA
This 986-nucleotide long non-coding RNA is filed under the name Gallus gallus (chicken). The record is from RNAcentral. Lineage: Eukaryota; Metazoa; Chordata; Aves; Galliformes; Phasianidae.